UACGUAGGGGCAAGCGUUGUCCGGAAUCAUUGGGCGUAAAGAGCGUGUAGGCGGCCCGGUAAGUCCGCUGUGAAAGUCCAGGGCUCAACCCUGGAAUGCCGGUGGAAACUGUCGGGCUAGAGUCCGGAAGAGGCGAGUGGAAUUCCUGGUGUAGCGGUGAAAUGCGCAGAUAUCAGGAGGAACACCAAUGGCGAAGGCAGCUCGCUGGGACGGUACUGACGCUGAGACGCGAAAGCGUGGGGAGCAAACAGG
Molecule: ribosomal RNA, 252 nt
Filed under: uncultured bacterium
Lineage: Bacteria
Description: partial 16S ribosomal RNA
Rfam family: Bacterial small subunit ribosomal RNA
Source: RNAcentral